UGUUAAGACAGAGAAGAGAAAAAUGGCAGUAUGAUCCUCUAGAAAUGCAGCAAUUGGAAUGAAAAAGGAGCAUGGGCUGGCGUAGCUCAGGAGAGAGAAUGACUUGUAACGGCAUAGCAAGCUACUUCUCUAGCUCUUCCUGCAAAUGGCUGGGGAAAAAGUGUACUUCCUGGCAGAGAGGCUACAAUCUACUCUUAUUUUUCUGGCUAUUUCCAGCAAGUUCUCUUCUCUCCUUAGAUAGCUUAUCUCUUCAAAGGAGUGUGUCUGAGCUGUGGAAAACGCCUGUUAGUUGCUGAACGAUCAAAUAGAUGUAAGACGAAUAACUGGCUCCUGGCAAAAAUCGGAUUAAAUUGCCUCAAAAGUAACCAAGCUAAAAUGACAACAGGUCACCCUAAAAAAGAAACAAGAUAAUGGCUUUCAAAGGAAUGACAAAACACCUUUGGAGAAAAUUAGAGUUAAUUAGAUAUCUGAAGAUGGAAAACAAGCCAUCACCCUUCCAAAUGUUAGCUGUUGAUGACUGUUUCAUUUAGUGGGAGAUGCCACUUGGUAUAGAGAAAAAUGCACUGGGCUGUGCAUAAGUACGGUCUCAGCUGUACCAUGGACUGUUGGUGAGGUGUUGAGUACAUGUCCCAAGCUCACUGAACCUCAGUUUACUCAUCCAUAAAAUGAGGGCUUUUACCCACACAGUCUCAGAGCACAUUCAGUGAGUGGUAGUGAGGAUGAUGGUGGUGGUGUUGAGGGUGACCACAGUGAUCAUGAUGAUAAUGUAAUGGUGACAUAAUGAGCAUCGCAUUAGUAAGGGUUUUCUAGAGAAGCAGAGCCAACCAAUAGAAUGUUCUAAGACAUGCAGUUGGCAAAUUGGAGACCCAAGAAGAGCCAAUUUUCAGUUUGGAUCUGAAGACAGGAAAAGACUGAUACUCAGGGAAAGGUGAGUCUUUGCGUUCUAUGCAGUAUUUCGACCUAUUGGAUGAGGCCUACCAUAUUUAGGAAUGCAAUCUGCUUUACUCAGUCUUUCAAUUCAGAUAUUAAUUUUAUCUAGAAGCACCC
Molecule: long non-coding RNA, 1047 nt
Filed under: Callithrix jacchus (white-tufted-ear marmoset)
Lineage: Eukaryota; Metazoa; Chordata; Mammalia; Primates; Cebidae
Description: lncRNA (ENSCJAG00000083303.1)
Source: RNAcentral